UAUCGAAAGGCACGCCAUCGUGUUGGGAUUCAAUAUUUCGACAUUAAUUAUGUCAUCAUCAGUGUUGACAUGAUGAUGACACAGUCCAAUCAUCACCUCAUCAAACGGAUCACAGGCCUACAUUAUAAUAUUUCUGCAAUUGCAAUGAGGUUCAUAAUAGUGUAUUCAGGUGUGUUAACUCUAGUUGUGCUAUACACGUUAAAUUCAACUGAGAAAUUAAAAAUACAGAAUUUUAAUGUUGCAUUAUCAAGAUCACGUGAUAUCAUCACCACGCCAACAGAUUCAGCAGAAU
Anneissia japonica is the source of this 292-nucleotide long non-coding RNA. RefSeq lists it as uncharacterized. The transcript has 3 exons. Lineage: Eukaryota; Metazoa; Echinodermata; Crinoidea; Comatulida; Comatulidae. The record is from RefSeq and is a predicted model, not a curated record.